RNAcentral lists this transfer RNA (91 nucleotides) under Kitasatospora griseola. RNAcentral describes it as "tRNA-Glu". The record is from RNAcentral. Lineage: Bacteria; Bacillati; Actinomycetota; Actinomycetes; Kitasatosporales; Streptomycetaceae.
CCUCCUCCUGGGCCCGCUCCCAGGCCUUGGCGAUCUCGACGCUGUAGGCCCAGUACGCGGGGACGCCCGGUUCGGCGCCGCCGAGCAGGCC